This 292-nucleotide ribosomal RNA is filed under the name uncultured bacterium. Its description in RNAcentral is "partial 16S ribosomal RNA". It matches the Rfam family "Bacterial small subunit ribosomal RNA", at positions 505 to 796 of the family's 1533-position model. The record is from RNAcentral.
GUGUCAGCCGCCGCGGUAAUACGGAGGGGGCGAGCGUUGUCCGAAGUUACUGGGCGUAAAGCGCGUGUAGGCGGGUUGUCAAGUCCGCUGUGAAAGCCCGAGGCUCAACCUCGGAGGGUCGGUGGAUACUGACAGUCUUGAAGGUGCUAGGGGGAGAUGGAAUUACCGGUGUAGCGGUGAAAUGCGUAGAGAUCGGUAGGAACACCAGUGGCGAAGGCGGUCUCCUGGGGCAUUCUUGACGCUGAGACGCGAAAGCUGGGGGAGCAAACGGGAUUAGAUACCCCUGUAGUCC